GCUCCUAUAGUUCAGUGGAUAGAACGCAACCUUGCGGAGGUUGAGACCGGAGUUCGAGUCUUCGUGGGGGCA
RNAcentral lists this transfer RNA (72 nucleotides) under Nanobdellota archaeon. RNAcentral describes it as "tRNA-Arg". It matches the Rfam family "tRNA". Rfam says of the family: Transfer RNA (tRNA) molecules are approximately 80 nucleotides in length. Lineage: Archaea; Nanobdellati; Nanobdellota. The record is from RNAcentral.